RNAcentral lists this ribosomal RNA (400 nucleotides) under uncultured bacterium. RNAcentral describes it as "bacterial SSU rRNA". It matches the Rfam family "Bacterial small subunit ribosomal RNA", at positions 361 to 759 of the family's 1533-position model. The record is from RNAcentral.
AUUUUACUUGCCCGAAGGGUGACUUGCGACGCCGCGUGCAGGAUGAAGGCCUUCGGGUUGUAAACUGCUGUCAGGGGGGAAGAAACCUUACGUAUAAAUAAUGCGUAAGCUGACAUCACCCCCAAAGGAAGCCACGGCUAACUCUGUGCCAGCAGCCGCGGUAAGACAGAGGUGGCAAGCGUUGUUCGGAUUCAUUGGGUGUAAAGGGCAGGUAGGUGGUUAUGCAAGUCCGGUGUGAAAUCCCACGGCUCAACCGUGGAACGGCAUUGGAAACUGCAUGACUUGAGUACCGGAGAGGUGAGGGGAAUUCUCGGUGUAAGGGUGAAGGGGGGGGAUAUCGAGAGGAACACCAGUGGCGAAGGCGCCUCACUGGCCGGUUACUGACACUGAGCUGCGAAAG